RNAcentral lists this ribosomal RNA (561 nucleotides) under Vishniacozyma victoriae. RNAcentral describes it as "partial large subunit ribosomal RNA". It matches the Rfam family "Eukaryotic large subunit ribosomal RNA", at positions 72 to 618 of the family's 3401-position model. The record is from RNAcentral. Lineage: Eukaryota; Fungi; Basidiomycota; Tremellomycetes; Tremellales; Bulleribasidiaceae.
GGAUUCCCUUAGUAACGGCGAGUGAACCGGGAUGAGCUCAAAUUUAAAAUCUGGCGUCUUUCAGGCGUCCGAGUUGUAAUCUAUAGAGGCGUUUUCCGCGCCGGACCGCGUCCAAGUCUCUUGGAAUAGAGUAUCAAAGAGGGUGACAAUCCCGUACUUGACGCGACAACCGGUGCUCUGUGAUACGUUCUCAAUGAGUCGAGUUGUUUGGGAAUGCAGCUCUAAAUGGGUGGUAAAUUCCAUCUAAGGCUAAAUAUUGGCGAGAGACCGAUAGCGAACAAGUACCGUGAGGGAAAGAUGAAAAGCACUUUGGAAAGAGAGUUAAACAGCACGUGAAAUUGUUAAAAGGGAAACGAUUGAAGUCAGUCGUGUGAAAGGUAUUCAGCCGUCUCUGGCGGUGUAUUUGCCUUUCACGGGUCAACAUCAGUUUGAUCCGGUAGAAAAAGGCGGGAGGAAGGUGGCACCCUCGGGUGUGUUAUAGCCUCCUGUCAUAUGUGCCGGACCAGACUGAGGAACGCAGCUUGCCGCAAGGCCGGGGUUCGCCCACGUACAAGCUUAGGA